GAGGAAUAUUGGGCAAUGCCCGAAAGGGUGACCCAGCAACGCCGCGUGGAGGAUGAAGGUCGUAAGAUUGUAAACUCCUGUUAGAGGGGAAGAAUAACUAAGUUUGGAGCUUAGUAUGACUGUACCCUCAGAGAAAGCCCCGGCUAACUACGUGCCAGCAGCCGCGGUAAUACGUAGGGGGCAAGCGUUGUCCGGAUUUACUGGGUGUAAAGGGCGCGCAGGCGGAAUGGAAAGUCAGUGGUGAAAUCCUACAGCUUAACUGUAGAACUGCCUUUGAUACUUUCAUUCUUGAGUUCGGGAGAGAGAGACGGAAUUCCAGGUGUAGGGGUGAAAUACGUAGAUAUCUGGAAGAACACCAGUUGCGAAGGCGGUCUCUUGGUCCGAUACUGACGCUGAGGCGCGAAAGCGUGGGGAGCAAACA
Molecule: ribosomal RNA, 421 nt
Filed under: uncultured bacterium
Lineage: Bacteria
Description: bacterial SSU rRNA
Rfam family: Bacterial small subunit ribosomal RNA
Source: RNAcentral